UAGAGUUUGAUCCUGGCUCAGGACGAACGCUGGCGGCGUGCCUAAUACAUGCAAGUCGAGCGAAUCGAUGGGAGCUUGCUCCCUGAGAUUAGCGGCGGACGGGUGAGUAACACGUGGGCAACCUGCCUAUAAGACUGGGAUAACUUCGGGAAACCGGAGCUAAUACCGGAUACGUUCUUUUCUCGCAUGAGAGAAGAUGGAAAGACGGUUUCGGCUGUCACUUAUAGAUGGGCCCGCGGCGCAUUAGCUAGUUGGUGAGGUAAUGGCUCACCAAGGCGACGAUGCGUAGCCGACCUGAGAGGGUGAUCGGCCACACUGGGACUGAGACACGGCCCAGACUCCUACGGGAGGCAGCAGUAGGGAAUCUUCCGCAAUGGACGAAAGUCUGACGGAGCAACGCCGCGUGAACGAAGAAGGCCUUCGGGUCGUAAAGUUCUGUUGUUAGGGAAGAACAAGUACCAGAGUAACUGCUGGUACCUUGACGGUACCUAACCAGAAAGCCACGGCUAACUACGUGCCAGCAGCCGCGGUAAUACGUAGGUGGCAAGCGUUGUCCGGAAUUAUUGGGCGUAAAGCGCGCGCAGGUGGUUCCUUAAGUCUGAUGUGAAAGCCCACGGCUCAACCGUGGAGGGUCAUUGGAAACUGGGGAACUUGAGUGCAGAAGAGGAAAGUGGAAUUCCAAGUGUAGCGGUGAAAUGCGUAGAGAUUUGGAGGAACACCAGUGGC
Molecule: ribosomal RNA, 726 nt
Filed under: Bacillus sp. MS238f
Lineage: Bacteria; Bacillati; Bacillota; Bacilli; Caryophanales; Bacillaceae
Description: bacterial SSU rRNA
Rfam family: Bacterial small subunit ribosomal RNA
Source: RNAcentral